AGUAACGGCGAGUGAAGCGGCAACAGCUCAAAUUUGAAAUCUGGCGUCUUCGACGUCCGAGUUGUAAUUUGCAGAGGGCGCUUUGGCAUUGGCAGCGGUCCAAGUUCCUUGGAACAGGACGUCACAGAGGGUGAGAAUCCCGUACGUGGUCGCUAGCCUUUACCGUGUAAAGCCCCUUCGACGAGUCGAGUUGUUUGGG
RNAcentral lists this ribosomal RNA (199 nucleotides) under Didymella heteroderae. RNAcentral describes it as "partial large subunit ribosomal RNA". It matches the Rfam family "Eukaryotic large subunit ribosomal RNA", at positions 82 to 278 of the family's 3401-position model. The record is from RNAcentral. Lineage: Eukaryota; Fungi; Ascomycota; Dothideomycetes; Pleosporales; Didymellaceae.